Molecule: ribosomal RNA, 796 nt
Filed under: uncultured Glomus
Lineage: Eukaryota; Fungi; Glomeromycota; Glomeromycetes; Glomerales; Glomeraceae
Description: SSU rRNA
Rfam family: Eukaryotic small subunit ribosomal RNA
Source: RNAcentral
AACUUUCGAUGGUAGGAUAGAGGCCUACCAUGGUGGUAACGGGUAACGGGGUGUUAGGGCACGACACCGGAGAGGGAGCCUGAGAAACGGCUACCACAUCCAAGGAUGGCAGCAGGCGCGCAAAUUACCCAAUCCCGACACGGGGAGGUAGUGACAAUAAAUAACAAUACGGGGUUCUUUAGGAUCUCGUAAUUGGAAUGAGUACAAUUUAAAUCUCUUAACGAGGAACAAUUGGAGGGCAAGUCUGGUGCCAGCAGCCGCGGUAAUUCCAGCUCCAAUAGCGUAUAUUAAAGUUGUUGCAGUUAAAAAGCUCGUAGUUGAAUUUCGGGGUUAGUAGGUUGGUCAUGCCUCUGGUAUGUACUGGUCUCACUGAUUCCUCCUUCCUGAUGAACCUUAAUGCCAUUAAUUUGGUGUUUUGGGGAAUUUGGACUGUUACUUUGAAAAAAUUAGAGUGCUUAAAGCAAGCUAACGCUUGAAUACAUUAGCAUGGAAUAAUGAAAUAGGACGUUCGAUCCUAUUUUGUUGGUUUCUAGGAUUGACGUAAUGAUUAAUAGGGAUAGUUGGGGGCAUUAGUAUUCAAUUGUCAGAGGUGAAAUUCUUGGAUUUAUUGAAGACUAACUACUGCGAAAGCAUUUGCCAAGGAUGUUUUCAUUAAUCAAGAACGAAAGUUAGGGGAUCGAAGACGAUCAGAUACCGUCGUAGUCUUAACCAUAAACUAUGCCGACUAGGGAUCGGAUGAUGUUAAUUUUUUAAUGACUCAUUCGGCGCCUUACGGGAAACCAAAGUGUUUGGGUUC